Molecule: non-coding RNA, 124 nt
Organism: Hordeum vulgare subsp. vulgare (domesticated barley)
Lineage: Eukaryota; Viridiplantae; Streptophyta; Magnoliopsida; Poales; Poaceae
Source: Rfam
UUAAUACUCCCUCUGUCCAGAAUUACUUGUCGCAGAAAUGGAUAGAAAUGGAUUUAUCUAGAACUAAAAUACGUCUAGAUACAUACAUUUCUAUGACAAGUAAUUCUGGACGGAAGAGUGCUAA